CUGCUAUGGGGGUCCGACUAAGCCAUGCGAGUCAUGGGGCGCGCUCUGCGCGCACCGGCGGACGGCUCAGUAACACGUCGGUAACCUACCCUCGGGAGGGGGAUAACCCCGGGAAACUGGGGCUAAUCCCCCAUAGGCCUGGGGUACUGGAAGGUCCCCAGGCCGAAAGGGGCUCUGCCCGCCCGAGGAUGGGCCGGCGGCCGAUUAGGUAGUUGGUGGGGUAACGGCCCACCAAGCCGAAGAUCGGUACGGGCCAUGAGAGUGGGAGCCCGGAGAUGGACACUGAGACACGGGUCCAGGCCCUACGGGGCGCAGCAGGCGCGAAACCUCCGCAAUGCGGGAAACCGCGACGGGGGGACCCCCAGUGCCGUGGCACAGCCACGGCUUUUCCGGAGUGUAAAAAGCUCCGGGAAUAAGGGCUGGGCAAGGCCGGUGGCAGCCGCCGCGGUAAUACCGGCGGCCCAAGUGGUGGCCGCUAUUAUUGGGCCUAAAGCGUCCGUAGCCGGGCCCGUAAGUCCCUGGCGAAAUCCCACGGCUCAACCGUGGGGCUUGCUGGGGAUACUGCGGGCCUUGGGACCGGGAGAGGCCGGGGGUACCCCUGGGGUAGGGGUGAAAUCCUAUAAUCCCAGGGGGACCGCCAGUGGCGAAGGCGCCCGGCUGGAACGGGUCCGACGGUGAGGGACGAAGGCCAGGGGAGCGAACCGGAUUAGAUACCCGGGUAGUCCUGGCUGUAAAGGAUGCGGGCUAGGUGUCGGGCGAGCUUCGAGCUCGCCCGGUGCCGGAGGGAAGCCGUUAAGCCCGCCGCCUGGGGAGUACGGCCGCAAGGCUGAAACUUAAAGGAAUUGGCGGGGGAGCACUACAAGGGGUGGAGCGUGCGGUUUAAUUGGAUUCAACGCCGGGAACCUCACCGGGGGCGACGGCAGGAUGAAGGCCAGGCUGAAGGUCUUGCCGGACGCGCCGAGAGGAGGUGCAUGGCCGCCGUCAGCUCGUACCGUGAGGCGUCCACUUAAGUGUGGUAACGAGCGAGACCCGCGCCCCCAGUUGCCAGUCCUCCCCGCUGGGGAGGAGGCACUCUGGGGGGACCGCCGGCGAUAAGCCGGAGGAAGGAGCGGGCGACGGUAGGUCAGUAUGCCCCGAAACCCCCGGGCUACACGCGCGCUACAAUGGGCGGGACAAUGGGAACCGACCCCGAAAGGGGAAGGGAAUCCCCUAAACCCGCCCUCAGUUCGGAUCGCGGGCUGCAACUCGCCCGCGUGAAGCUGGAAUCCCUAGUACCCGCGUGUCAUCAUCGCGCGGCGAAUACGUCCCUGCUCCUUGCACACACCGCCCGUCACUCCACCCGAGCGGGGUCCGGGUGAGGCCUGGUCUCCCUUCGGGGAGGCCGGGUCGAGCCUGGGCUCCGUGAGG
This 1407-nucleotide ribosomal RNA is filed under the name Thermococcus sp. 23-2. RNAcentral's name for it is "bacterial SSU rRNA". It matches the Rfam family "Archaeal small subunit ribosomal RNA". Lineage: Archaea; Methanobacteriati; Methanobacteriota; Thermococci; Thermococcales; Thermococcaceae. The record is from RNAcentral.